Molecule: transfer RNA, 88 nt
Filed under: Oceanospirillum linum
Lineage: Bacteria; Pseudomonadati; Pseudomonadota; Gammaproteobacteria; Oceanospirillales; Oceanospirillaceae
Also listed under: 2 other names
Rfam family: tRNA
About the family: Transfer RNA (tRNA) molecules are approximately 80 nucleotides in length. Their secondary structure includes four short double-helical elements and three loops (D, anti-codon, and T loops).
Source: Rfam by way of RNAcentral
GGAGGGAUGGCUGAGCGGCUGAAAGCACCGGUCUUGAAAACCGGCAAGGGUUAAUAGCCCUUCCAGGGUUCAAAUCCCUGUCCCUCCG